AAUAUUAGCUAAGUACUUUAAACCCAUAGAAUUUGGCGGUAUCUUAUUCCAUUCAGAGGAACCUACCCCGUAAUUGAUAGUACACGAUUAACUUUACUUGAUUUAUUUGUUUGUAUAUCUCCGUUAUCAGAAGAUCUUUUUAGAGUUAUAAUUUUCUAAAUUUAUAAUUAUAAAUUAUUUCAGGUCAAGGUGCAGCUUAUAAUUAAGAGGAGGUGGGUUACAUUAAAUUUAAUUUAAACGGAUUUUAUAAUGAAAGAUUAUAAAUAAAGGUGGAUUUGAUAGUAAUUUAAUUUAUUAAAUUUAAUUGAUAUUGGCUCUAAGAUGUGU
RNAcentral lists this ribosomal RNA (327 nucleotides) under Ampelophilus olivaceus. Its description in RNAcentral is "partial 12S ribosomal RNA". The record is from RNAcentral. Lineage: Eukaryota; Metazoa; Arthropoda; Insecta; Orthoptera; Acrididae.